Molecule: small nuclear RNA, 114 nt
Filed under: Erythranthe guttata (spotted monkey flower)
Lineage: Eukaryota; Viridiplantae; Streptophyta; Magnoliopsida; Lamiales; Phrymaceae
Description: Mimulus guttatus (spotted monkey flower) U5 spliceosomal RNA
Rfam family: U5 spliceosomal RNA
About the family: U5 RNA is a component of both types of known spliceosome. The precise function of this molecule is unknown, though it is known that the 5' loop is required for splice site selection and p220 binding, and that both the 3' stem-loop and the Sm site are important for Sm protein binding and cap methylation.
Source: Rfam by way of RNAcentral
AGCCGCGCGGUAAGCACAUAGCGAACUAUUCUUUCGCCUUUUACUAAAGAAUACCGUGUGCUUGCCGCAUUCAAGCGGCAUACGCCUCUUUUUGGAGGGGUUUUUCCUAAUCGG